This 372-nucleotide ribosomal RNA is filed under the name uncultured organism. Its description in RNAcentral is "bacterial SSU rRNA". It matches the Rfam family "Bacterial small subunit ribosomal RNA", at positions 526 to 896 of the family's 1533-position model. The record is from RNAcentral.
CGGAGGGUGCGAGCGUUGUCCGGAAUCACUGGGCGUAAAGGGCGCGUAGGCGGCCUGAUAAGUAGGGGGUGAAAUCCUGCGGCUUAACCGCAGGGCUGCCUUCUAAACUGUCAGGCUUGAGCACAGUAGAGGCAGGUGGAAUUCCCGGUGUAGCGGUGGAAUGCGUAGAGAUCGGGAAGAACGUCAGUGGCGAAGGCGGCCUGCUGGGCUGUUGCUGACGCUGAGGCGCGACAGCGUGGGGAGCAAACAGGAUUAGAUACCCUGGUAGUCCACGCCGUAAACGAUGGGCACUAGGCGUCGGGGGGAGCGACCCUCCCGGUGCCGUCGCUAACGCAGUAAGUGCCCCGCCUGGGGAGUACGGCCGCAAGGCUG